Molecule: ribosomal RNA, 434 nt
Filed under: uncultured bacterium
Lineage: Bacteria
Description: partial 16S ribosomal RNA
Rfam family: Bacterial small subunit ribosomal RNA
Source: RNAcentral
AGCGAACGCUGGCGGCAGGCCUAACACAUGCAAGUCGAACGAACCUUUCGGGGUUAGUGGCGGACGGGUGAGUAACACGUGGGAACGUGCCUUUAGGUUCGGAAUAACUCAGGGAAACUUGUGCUAAUACCGAAUGUGCCCUUCGGGGGAAAGAUUUAUCGCCUUUAGAGCGGCCCGCGUCUGAUUAGCUAGUUGGUUGAGGUGAUGGCUCACCAAGGCGACGAUCAGUAGCUGGUCUGAGAGGAUGAUCAGCCACAUUGGGACUGAGACACGGCCCAAACUCCUACGGGAGGCAGCAGUGGGGAAUCUUGCGCAAUGGGCGAAAGCCUGACGCAGCCAUGCCGCGUGAAUGAUGAAGGUCUUAGGAUUGUAAAAUUCUUUCACCGGGGACGAUAAUGACGGUACCCGGAGAAGAAGCCCCGGCUAACUUCGUG